This is a long non-coding RNA of Arabidopsis thaliana (thale cress), 341 nucleotides long. RefSeq annotates it as other RNA. The transcript has a single exon. NCBI's taxonomy places the organism in Eukaryota, Viridiplantae, Streptophyta, Magnoliopsida, Brassicales, Brassicaceae. The record is from RefSeq.
GCUUUUUUUUUAAUCUUAUAUCUGAUGAAAAAGGUCUUCCUCUCUCUCAGAUCUUCUUCCUUCUUCUUUCUCCUUAAGCAGACAUCUAUCCAUGAAAUCAACGCAAUAGAAACGAUGAAGAAACCUCAUUUUUUGAAGAAUCCAAUGUUUUUCCUAUUUCUUCUCAUCACUGCUUCUUCCUUAACUAUACUCAUCUUCUCCUUUCUUAAAUUACCGGAAACACCUCUCGCCGCUGGUAACCAUCUCUGCAAACUCGGAGACGACAUCUCCGACGAACUCGGUUUCUUCGGGAAGAUGAUGAUCGAAAUGUUACCUGAAGAUCUGGUUUUCAUAGCCUUCGU